RNAcentral lists this long non-coding RNA (4723 nucleotides) under Sus scrofa (pig). RNAcentral's name for it is "lncRNA (ENSSSCG00055027542.1)". Lineage: Eukaryota; Metazoa; Chordata; Mammalia; Artiodactyla; Suidae. The record is from RNAcentral.
GACCAUGUUAUUUUACCUUUAUUCUAAUAGGAGAACGUGCACAGCUUUGGCCGGAUGUCUAGAGUCGCCUCCACUUUUAAGGAACACACUUGCGACGUGUUUUUGUAACGUCAGUGAUGUUUCCACGUUCCCCUCGGGCAGCACUCCCUCACUCCGAGGUGGGAGGAAGUACUCUCCUUUUGCUCAGGGGGUGCACAAGAACUCUCAAUGGGUGUGGGCAUGGCCCCUUUAAGAAUUAGAAUGGGUUUCCGGGGCUUUGGGAUUUCGGCCCUUUCUUAGAUGCUUAGGAACAACUUGGGAAUACAAAGUUAAGUUAUGUGCAAUAUUAAAAGGGGUGCAUUUAUAAGGGAAGAACAUCGCACAUUUCGGAGGAAAUUCAGCUGAGAUGAAAAAGCAAAGUGUCCGAUUCUUAUUUGUCCGCUAUUUGUGGGAUCUUCGGGCUGCUCCCUGACAGCCCAGGAGAGUCCCUUUGGGUGCAAGGUGGCCAGGACCCUCCUGGCUCCUGAGGGCCCUCUCCUCGUCAGUCGUGGGGUGGGGGCGCCAAGGUGGAGCGGGCAGGAUUCUCGGUCAGAGGAGGACCACUGCCCCGGGCCGGGCCGCGGGUGUUUGAACGUCACCUGCCUUGAGCCGUUUGCCCGGUUGUCAGUCUGGACGAGGCUUCCUCGAACAUCUCUACACACAUCACUGUGAUUGGGUCUCUUUUUCAUUACGAAAAGUUUCUAGAAGCGGAAUUAGUCUUUGGGAGGGAAUAAACAUCUUAAAGGCUGUUUAUAAAUCCCCGGAGAAAAGUCUCAUCGAUGUGUAACCCUACCAGGGGCCCCUCACCAACAAGAUGAAUCACGAUUAGAAACUUCGUUUGCCAAGUUGCUUAGUGAGCAGUGACCAGAGUUACUCCGUCUUAAUCCGUUGAACUUCAGCUUGAGUCCUGGCGACCCCACCCUUCCCACUGCGCCAGGCCCCUGCUGUCCACUAGUGAGGACCGGUUGGGCAUCACGUGUCCAGGAGACGUUUUUCAUUUUGAGUUCAUGACGCUCUGGGGUGGGAAGAAUUAUUUCCUCUUCCUGAGACACAGAAAGGCCCCAGGUUCCGUGAAGGGCCAGCUCUGAGUGUGAUACUUUCUCCCCGGAGGGCUGGUGUGGGCAUUCUCCCCUCACACCCGGCGUGUGUUCAGGGCCAGGACUCUGGGUGUCUUGGUUUAUUUUAUAGGUGGGUGUACUUUUGUCUUAAUUUUUGUUUGUUUGUUUGCACUUCGGUUGCAACCCUGGCAUGUGGAAGUUCCUGGGCUGAGGACUGAACCCCAAGUCACAGCAGGGACAGUGCUGGAUCUUAACCUACUGAACCGCAAGGGAACUCCAGUCUUGUUUUUCUUAAACUCCUGUAUUCACAGUUAAUUUACAUGCAAUAAGAUGCACACAUAUUAAAACAGAGUUGGGGAGUUCCCAUCGUGGCGCAGUGGUUAAUGCAUCCGACUAGGAACUAUGAGGUUGUGGGUUUGAUCCCUGGCCUUGCUAGGUGGGUUAAGGAUCCAGCAUUGCCGUGAGCUGUGGUGGAGGUCGUAGAUGCGGCUCGGAUCCCGCGUUGCUGUGGCUCUGGCAUAGGCUGGCAGCUACAGCUCCGAUUCGACCCCUAGCCUGGGAACCUCCAUAUGCCGUGAGAGCGGCCCAAGAACUGGCAAAAAGACAAAAAAAAAAAAAAAAAAAAAAAAAACCCAUAAAAAUGCCACCACCACCAACAACAAAAAAACAGAGUUGGACGAGUUGAGAAAUACGGACUGUCAGGAGAUCAGCCCCACCGUCCAGAUGGAGGCCCCCCCAUCCCCCCAUUGACCUGAAAGCCCUUUGCACAAUCCCACCCACAGUCAGCGGAUUCCAGUAGCGGAGGUGCUGGGGGUCCAUGCACAGGGACCCUUCCCACCCUGUGGGCCCUGGCUCUGCUCCCGCAUCACACACAUCACUUUUCCUUGCUUAGGAAUUUUGUAAGAAUUGUUUUACCCAAGCCCUGUCAGCUUUCCUUUUCCUGUCCCCACCUGCCCCUGGAGCCUCUCUGGGGCUGCAAUCAGCUCCUCCACAGGCUGGGUCUGUUCUGCUCCUGGAGGCCUCUCUUAGUGGAGGCAGGGCCUCCAGUGGGGUCUCUGGUGCCGUUGGGAGGACAGGAUGGGGAUGGCCGAGCAGCUGGCCUCUCUGAGGUGGCUUCACAGAGGGAUUAGGAAGCAGCCGUGGUGGCCCUGCUGUUCCUUGUGCUGUCCCUCACGGUGUCCAGUAACCCGUCACCCAUCGGCACCUAGAACAGGGUCUUGGAGGGAUCGGUUGGGUCCAGGUUGUGAAGGCAGGACUGGGGCUCAUGCUGAGGGGGUCAGAGGCAGGGAGAGGCCUGGAGGCAACUUUGCUUGGGUGGAAUAAACCAAAGUCCACACGUCCACCGACAGCAAUAAAAAGAGUGUGCUUCUCCUUUUUUGCUCCCUCCCACCACCUUCCAGGUUGUUGUCAGAGAAAGUGUGAAGCUACCUCUUCAGCACAGGCCAGCAGCAGUCCUGGCUCAGCCCCUGGCCUCGCUGCCCACCCCUAGCCCCUCUGCACCUUCAAAGGUUUUUGUGACACAAAGACACCUGUUUAGAAAGACCGUCUGGUGAAAGAGAAGAGGUCUCCCUGGAUUCCAUUUUACCUUAACUCGGUUUAAAUCAGGGUGCUUGUGCUCCCCUGCUUCUCCCAGCCUCUGGGCCUCGGGCCUGAGCGGCUUCACCUGCGUGCUGGGAUCGCGGCUGAGUCAUACCCUCGCCCAGCCUGUGGGUCCUCAUGCUGUUCCGGAGCUCCGGACACUGUGGGAUGUGCCGCCAGCUGCUUGGGGGACCUGGCGCUGCGUCUUCUCAGCUGGGGGGCCAGCAGCAGGAGAGCACAGGGAACAUUCGCAGGAAAGGGAAACAAGCGGGGUUUCCUGGCCUGUCGCCCUUCCCGAGGCUGGAUGGCAGAGUCGGGCGGUAAGUUUGUCCCUUUUUGGAGACGGAAGCAGUGAGGGGCCAGGCUGUCCUGCUCUAGCAGAGCCAGGAUGAGCUUUCUGGUGGCAGCCUCCUGGCCACUCUUGCCGUGGAGAAGCUCUCACACACCCGAGGGAAAGGAAGGGCAGCACUGUCCUCGCCGAGGCCACUGCGGUGCCAGGGGAGCAAGGCCAGUGCCACUGUCUGGGCAGAGGAGGCAGCCAGGGCGUCGAGCGGUGGAUGCUGAGCCUCCCGAAGCCUGAGGUGGGGGUGACGUGCCCAGGCCGGGUCGUGGCGCCAGUCACAUGCCAGUGGGGUCUUUGUGUCUGCAGAGGGGAUACCACUGGCUGGAGUUCCCACCACCCAAGCACUUUGCACCUGAUAGAGUGAGGUGGCGUUUGGAUAAUUUCUCCCCUCAGCACUGCGGUUCAAAUGGCCAGAUCCCACUGACGGACCUGUGUUGCAAACCCCCUUUGGAACUCGUGCUGCUAACGUCCUGUGUUGUGCUCAGCAUUGCCAGGUGAAAACAGAAUAGUCGGGAGUGGGACGCUAACAAUUUCAUGGAGAUCUAACUGGGUUGUCAGGUGUCCAUGGCCGGAGGGAAGCAGUUUCAGAACGACAGUGACUGUCAGCAUUUGGUCCCGUAAGGACUGGAAGUGAAAGCGGCAGAAGCUGCUGCAGUGUCAGCACGAGCAGGAAUCAGCGGCCCCCAUGCCAGUCGCUUGAGAUGACUCCACAGAGGGCAGUGUCCAAGGUGCCCUGCUAUGCCCAGACGCCCUCCCAAGGCCAGCCGACCCCUCCUUGCCUCCCAAGCCACCAGUCUGCCAUCAAGUGUCCACCCUGAAGCAGGGCCACUGCCCUGCAUGGGCUUCCACCAAGUGAUUUCACUGAGUCCUCAUUCUCAAGGCCACACCACGAGCAGAGACAACAGAGAGCUUUCUGACCUUCCCCACUGCCACUUCCUGGGGCCGGGGCCGCAUUUAAAUAUCUUUUCUAAAGGGCUCGGUCCACAGAGCCUUGGUACUUGUGAGAAUCUUGGAUUCUAAGCAGAAGGUGCAGUUUCCCCCCUGUCACCAGGCAGACGUGGGUUGGGACAGGGAGCGGGUCUGCCUGUCUCCAUCCGCAGUGACUCUCCCCGCUCCCCGAAGGAGCCGAUCCUCUGCUGACCCCUCUGCCCCUCUUCCCCGAGCCUCCAGGCGGGGUGGUGCCGAGCUCUGCACCCAGGGCCCAGGAGGCGCGGUACCCUAUGGCGGUCGUGAGGCUCACGCCCCCUCCGAGCCUGGCCUCGCCGCAGAGAGCUUGCCGUCUGUAGGGUCCCGGUAACCCUGGAAGAGAGGAAGGAGAAGAAGGGAACUUCUCAUCUCUCCUUGCGACACUGGGCUUUGUAUUGCUUGCCAGAGGGGAGGGGUCACUGCUGGUCCUCUGUCCACCCAUCCAUUGGGUGUGCUGAGCUCGGAGCACAUCUUCUCAGCAAGGUCUUCCUGCCCUUGAGUCCCGGGACUAGGUCUCCCGGAAACGAUCGGAAUUGACCUGGGACUUGACAGCCCUGACCCAGAGCUCGCUGGGGCUUGGUGCUGCGCUAGGCACUUUACAGCUGGAAAACCGGAUACAUGUUCAAUCACCCGCAGCGCGUAAGGUGGCUGGGAGACCCUGUAGACGUGACUUGGAACCAAGGUGACGGCGGGGAGGCCGAGGCGUGGCAGGCAUCCCAGGGUUUUCUGGGCUCUUCUCUCCAUGACAGCCUCCGCCUCU